RNAcentral lists this ribosomal RNA (427 nucleotides) under uncultured prokaryote. RNAcentral describes it as "bacterial SSU rRNA". It matches the Rfam family "Bacterial small subunit ribosomal RNA", at positions 355 to 774 of the family's 1533-position model. The record is from RNAcentral.
UCGAGGAUCUUUCGCAAUGGGCGCAAGCCUGACGAAGCGACGCCGUGUGAGUGAAGAAGGCCUUAGGGUUGUAAAACUCUUUCGCUUGGGAACAAGAGAAGCCGAAGAAUAUUCGGUGUAUUUGAGGGUACCAGGUAAAGAAGCACCGGCUAACUCCGUGCCAGCAGCUGCGGUAAUACGGAGGGUGCAAGCAUUAAUCGGAUUUACUGGGCGUAAAGGGCGCGUAGGCGGUUAUACAAGUCAGCUGUGAAAUAUCUGGGCUCAACCCGGAGACUGCAGGUGAGACUGUAUAGCUAGAGGGUAAGUGGGGAAAAUGGAAUUCCACGUGUAGCGGUGAAAUGCGUAGAUAUGUGGAAGAACACCGGAGGCGAAGGCGGUUUUCCAAUUUAUUCCUGACGCUGAGGCGCGAAAGCAAGGGGAGCAAACA